This 194-nucleotide small nucleolar RNA is filed under the name Ovis aries (sheep). RNAcentral's name for it is "Small nucleolar RNA SNORA79". It matches the Rfam family "Small nucleolar RNA SNORA79". From Rfam's summary of the family: ACA65 (SNORA79) is a member of the H/ACA class of snoRNAs that guide the sites of modification of uridines to pseudouridines. This snoRNA was identified by computational screening and its expression in mouse experimentally verified by Northern blot and primer extension analysis. The record is from Rfam by way of RNAcentral. Lineage: Eukaryota; Metazoa; Chordata; Mammalia; Artiodactyla; Bovidae.
UGAUGGCUGUUCUGCUCACUGCGUGGAGCCUUAAGUAGUGAGAUUUUAGGCCAUCAUACAUCUAAACUGACUUGUUUUCAUUCAGGGCACCAUGGGUUAGCUGUCUGAUCUAAACUGACUUGUUUUCAUUCAGGGCACCGUGGGUUAGCUGUCUGUCACUCACUGCCUUUUGAUUUUUGCAGACUCAAACAAUU